RNAcentral lists this ribosomal RNA (235 nucleotides) under Salmonella enterica subsp. enterica serovar Agona. Its description in RNAcentral is "partial 23S ribosomal RNA". It matches the Rfam family "Bacterial large subunit ribosomal RNA", at positions 1141 to 1290 of the family's 2925-position model. The record is from RNAcentral. Lineage: Bacteria; Pseudomonadati; Pseudomonadota; Gammaproteobacteria; Enterobacterales; Enterobacteriaceae.
CUCACUGGUCGAGUCGGCCUGCGCGGAAGAUGUAACGGGGCUAAACCAUGCACCGAAGCUGCGGCAGCGAACGUAUCACCCAAGACAACUUUACGGAGUUGACGAUUGACGGAGCGAAGCGACGUCAAAGCGUUCAUUAAAGUCGAGUUGGCUUAGGGAUACGUUCGUUGGGUAGGGGAGCGUUCUGUAAGCCUGUGAAGGUGGCCUGUGAGGGUUGCUGGAGGUAUCAGAAGUG